CAGCCGCCGCGGGAAUACGAAGGGGGCUAGCGUUGUUCGGAAUUACUGGGCGUAAAGCGCACGUAGGCGGAUACUUAAGUUAGGGGUGAAAUCCCAGGGCUCAACCCUGGAACUGCCUUUAAUACUGGGUAUCUUGAGUUCGAGAGAGGUAAGUGGAAUUCCGAGUGUAGAGGUGAAAUUCGUAGAUAUUCGGAGGAACACCAGUGGCGAAGGCGGCUUACUGGCUCGAUACUGACGCUGAGGUGCGAAAGCGUGGGGAGCAAACAGGAUUAGAUACCCCAGUAGUCCCUGUCUCUUAUAC
RNAcentral lists this ribosomal RNA (301 nucleotides) under uncultured bacterium. RNAcentral's name for it is "partial 16S ribosomal RNA". It matches the Rfam family "Bacterial small subunit ribosomal RNA", at positions 509 to 807 of the family's 1533-position model. The record is from RNAcentral.